RNAcentral lists this transfer RNA (73 nucleotides) under Cordylochernes scorpioides. RNAcentral's name for it is "tRNA-Thr". It matches the Rfam family "tRNA". From Rfam's summary of the family: Transfer RNA (tRNA) molecules are approximately 80 nucleotides in length. Their secondary structure includes four short double-helical elements and three loops (D, anti-codon, and T loops). The record is from RNAcentral. Lineage: Eukaryota; Metazoa; Arthropoda; Arachnida; Pseudoscorpiones; Chernetidae.
UCCAGGGUAGCCUAGUGGACAUGGCAUCUGCCCGGUAAGCGGAACACUGUGUGUUCGAUUCCCAUCCCUGGUC